UGUUUCCUCCACGUUUCACCGAAAAGGCAUGCACUCGAGCGCUUAAAUAUAGUUCGGAGGGAACUUGCAAAGACAAAGAGGCGCGAAACUCGUCCCUCGAAAAGAGCUCUCCAUAUUUAGAAACUUCUCGGUUCUCGCCGGCGCGGUUUCUCUCCGUCUCUCCGGAUAUCUCAUCGGCAAACUCUCAGAAAUCCGUUGACGACUACUUCGGAUUCUUAUGAUUCAAGUCGGAUCAUUCACAGGGAACGGGGAUUGGGAUUCUCUAUGGGAUGGGGAUGAGGAUGAGGAGUGCCCGCGGCUCGGCCCAACCUUGUUGCCAACCUUGACACUGUUACAGUGGGAGUACUCUAUGACGGGACUUUUUUUAGCUAUUUCUACCUAUCCGGUGAAAUAGCUUUUUCGGCUUUGGGGGGCACACUUGACCCUAUAUCAUUUAUGAGGUACCUAUUGCUUUAGCGUUUUCAUUUUGAUCAUAUCUGGAUUCAAGUCUUCACUAUAACCUUUUUGCGGUAAGUUAAUAAUUAUGCUGGGUUGGGUACCUUCGAUAAUUGACAUUGAUUUUGCAUUUCCUUCUCUUUCGGUGAUUGAUGCAAUUUUCAACUUUUGACCAUACAAAUACCGAGCAAGUA
Long non-coding RNA from Cucumis melo (muskmelon), 629 nucleotides. RefSeq lists it as uncharacterized. Lineage: Eukaryota; Viridiplantae; Streptophyta; Magnoliopsida; Cucurbitales; Cucurbitaceae. The transcript is spliced from 3 exons. The record is from RefSeq and is a predicted model, not a curated record.